Molecule: long non-coding RNA, 1350 nt
Filed under: Heterocephalus glaber (naked mole-rat)
Lineage: Eukaryota; Metazoa; Chordata; Mammalia; Rodentia; Bathyergidae
Description: lncRNA (ENSHGLG00000048921.1)
Source: RNAcentral
CCACUGACCUAUUCAGUGGAUGCCAGCCAGUGCCCCAGCGUCCGGCAGAGGCGUCAUGGCGCCUGGCCCGUUGUACAUAUCGCAAAACAAUGGCUACUGCCAUUUCUGUUUCAACGCACACCCUGUUCCUUGCAAUUCCUAGCCCAGCCCUGAUACAGGGACGUUCAGAGGUGAGAGCUUUAAACAGACCUGGCUUUUGUUCUCCCCCAAGUGAAUGAAGGCUCACCUCCCUUUCUUGCUUCCCUUUGCUCACUAGAAGGUCACCGAAGCGCUGGAGAAGAGCCAGAAACUUUACCCCUGGGUUACCUGGGGUGGGAGCUGUUUUCCCCAUGAACAUUCUUCACAGAUAUUCAACACAGCCACGUAAGAGCCAAAUGCCUGAAGGCCCCAUCACCGAGCAGACCUGCAGUGGGGCCACGCCAGCGUGUAGCCUGCACAGCACACACAGGACCUCGUUGGAGAUGCUCACUGUGCUGGCAGAGGACAGGCUCAGUCCCUCUCCUGUGCCCACUGCUUGGACCUCAUCAUUACAAAGUGCUCCCGGGGCAUCCAGCAGUGAAGCGGCCUCACAGCAGCAAGGGCUUCAGCUCAGCCACCCCAGUCCUGCUUCCUGCACCCCAAUAUACGCAAAGCCAGAAAUGUCAAGGAUGCCAGGCCCAGCUGCCCAGAGAAGGGAGGACAUCUCUUCCCCCAGGGAGAACCUGCUGCAGUCCGAAUGUGCUAAGGCCGGACAGCUGGUCACCCAGGGAGGCCUGGAUGCCCUGCUUGAGCUGUCACAGCGUGCUGGGCCCCCAGUGUGACAACUGAAAGCAGCCAUCUCUUUCCCAUGGCCAUGGCAUGGUGGAACCAGGGUGCCAGCAGCACCUGGCUACUCAACUGGGAUGUCCUCUCCUUCCUCCCCUGUCAUCACUGCAAGAUGCUCCUGCAGGAGAGAGCACAAAGCCUGCCAGGGAGGGAGGUGACUGCAUAAAAGCACUGGCUCCAGAGAUGGCACCUGAGUGAUUGGCCCCACAAACACAAACCCAGAUGGGAUUUGCUCUAGUGCUGUACCAAAUGAGAGUCUACUGUCUGGAUGUACCGCAGUUUAUCCAUUUGCCUACUGAACAACAUCUUAGUUGCUUCCCAGUUUUGGCAAUUAUGAAUAAAGCCACUAUAAACAUUGGUGUGCAGGCUUUAGUAUGGGGGUUAAGAUUUCAACUUAUUUGGAUAAAUACCUAGGCACGCGGUUGCUGGAUGGCGCGGGGAGUCUACAUUUAGUUUUGCAGAUAGUAUCUUAAACUUAAUUUUACUCUGGAUGGUUUGCAUCUUAAUGUGCUUGCUUUUUCCUGGGGGUUUGCAACCUUUCAAUCA